RNAcentral lists this ribosomal RNA (549 nucleotides) under Staphylococcus pseudintermedius. RNAcentral describes it as "partial 23S ribosomal RNA". It matches the Rfam family "Bacterial large subunit ribosomal RNA", at positions 545 to 1094 of the family's 2925-position model. The record is from RNAcentral. Lineage: Bacteria; Bacillati; Bacillota; Bacilli; Caryophanales; Staphylococcaceae.
AGAACUUGAAACCGUGUGCUUACAAGUAGUCAGAGCCCGUUAAUGGGUGAUGGCGUGCCUUUUGUAGAAUGAACCGGCGAGUUACGAUCUGAUGCAAGGUUAAGCAGAAAAUGUGGAGCCGUAGCGAAAGCGAGUCUGAAUAGGGCGAAUGAGUAUUUGGUCGUAGACCCGAAACCAGGUGAUCUACCCUUGGUCAGGUUGAAGUUCAGGUAACACUGAAUGGAGGACCGAACCGACUUACGUUGAAAAGUGAGCGGAUGAACUGAGGGUAGCGGAGAAAUUCCAAUCGAACUUGGAGAUAGCUGGUUCUCUCCGAAAUAGCUUUAGGGCUAGCCUCAAGUGAUGAUUAUUGGAGGUAGAGCACUGUUUGGACGAGGGGCCCCUCUCGGGUUACCGAAUUCAGACAAACUCCGAAUGCCAAAUAAUUUAACUUGGGAGUCAGAAUGUGGGUGAUAAGGUCCAUAUUCGAAAGGGAAACAGCCCAGACCACCAGCUAAGGUCCCAAAAUAUAUGUUAAGUGGAAAAGGAUGUGGCGUUGCCCAGACAACU